GGCAGAUAGGGACGUAGAUACUGGGCCCUUCCUAGAAUCUGUAACAGGCCAGGGCACCAGACAGAUGAGGACACCUGGAAACCGUGACGACCCCCGCGGCAGGAACUCCCACAGCUCAUGCUCCCCUGCCCUCACUGAACAGCUGUAUAAAAAAUGCCCCUACUCCCUCUCUGCUCAACUCCACUGGCCCAACCCCAGGACCUGUGGACCUCUCCGGAGAGCGCAGAAUAAAUUCUCCUCCUUCAAUCUG
Molecule: long non-coding RNA, 250 nt
Organism: Myotis davidii
Lineage: Eukaryota; Metazoa; Chordata; Mammalia; Chiroptera; Vespertilionidae
Exons: 2
Source: RefSeq, a predicted model, not a curated record